AACGAACCCUUCGGGGUUAGUGGCGCACGGGUGCGUAACGCGUGGGAACCUGCCUUUAGGUUCGGAAUAACAGUUAGAAAUGACUGCUAAUACCGGAUAAUGUCUUCGGACCAAAGAUUUAUCGCCUUUAGAUGGGCCCGCGUUAGAUUAGAUAGUUGGUGGGGUAAUGGCCUACCAAGUCGACGAUCUAUAGCUGGUCUGAGAGGAUGAUCAGCCACACUGGGACUGAGACACGGCCCAGACUCCUACGGGAGGCAGCAGUGGGGAAUAUUGGACAAUGGGCGAAAGCCUGAUCCAGCAAUGCCGCGUGAGUGAUGAAGGCCUUAGGGUUGUAAAGCUCUUUUACCAGGGAUGAUAAUGACAGUACCUGGAGAAUAAGCUCCGGCUAACUCCGUGCCAGCAGCCGCGGUAAUACGGAGGGAGCUAGCGUUGUUCGGAAUUACUGGGCGUAAAGCGCGCGUAGGCGGCUUUUUAAGUCAGAGGUGAAAUCCCAGGGCUCAACCCUGGAACUGCCUUUGAAACUGGAAAGCUAGAAUAUUGGAGAGGUAAGUGGAAUUCCGAGUGUAGAGGUGAAAUUCGUAGAUAUUCGGAAGAACACCAGUGGCGAAGGCGACUUACUGGACAAUUAUUGACGCUGAGGUG
This 642-nucleotide ribosomal RNA is filed under the name Qipengyuania seohaensis. RNAcentral describes it as "bacterial SSU rRNA". It matches the Rfam family "Bacterial small subunit ribosomal RNA", at positions 65 to 753 of the family's 1533-position model. Lineage: Bacteria; Pseudomonadati; Pseudomonadota; Alphaproteobacteria; Sphingomonadales; Erythrobacteraceae. The record is from RNAcentral.